GUACAACUGUGAUGACAGAUUUGGCCUGUAUGUAAUGCAUCUGGAUUCUAAAUGAAGACAACAGUCCCUCUAAACUGAUGUUGC
RNAcentral lists this small nucleolar RNA (84 nucleotides) under Castor canadensis (American beaver). Its description in RNAcentral is "Small nucleolar RNA SNORD127 (ENSCCNG00000010710.1)". It matches the Rfam family "Small nucleolar RNA SNORD127". The record is from Rfam by way of RNAcentral. Lineage: Eukaryota; Metazoa; Chordata; Mammalia; Rodentia; Castoridae.